GACGAACGCUGGCGGCGUGCCUAAUACAUGCAAGUCGAACGCUUUUUCUUUCACCGGAGCUUGCUCCACCGAAAGAAAAAGAGUGGCGAACGGGUGAGUAACACGUGGGUAACCUGCCCAUCAGAAGGGGAUAACACUUGGAAACAGGUGCUAAUACCGUAUAACACUAUUUUCCGCAUGGAAGAAAGUUGAAAGGCGCUUUUGCGUCACUGAUGGAUGGACCCGCGGUGCAUUAGCUAGUUGGUGAGGUAACGGCUCACCAAGGCAACGAUGCAUAGGCUACCUGAGAGGGUGAUCGGACACACUGGGACUGAGACACGGCCCAGACUCCUACGGGAGGUAGCAGUAGGGAAUCUUCGGCAAUGGACGAAAGUCUGACCGAGCAACGCCGCGUGAGUGAAGAAGGUUUUCGGAUCGUAAAACUCUGUUGUUAGAGAAGAACAAGGAUGAGAGUAAAACGUUCAUCCCUUGACGGUAUCUAACCAGAAAGCCACGGCUAACUACGUGCCAGCAGCCGCAGUAA
Molecule: ribosomal RNA, 523 nt
Filed under: uncultured bacterium
Lineage: Bacteria
Description: partial 16S ribosomal RNA
Rfam family: Bacterial small subunit ribosomal RNA
Source: RNAcentral